This 253-nucleotide ribosomal RNA is filed under the name uncultured bacterium. RNAcentral's name for it is "partial 16S ribosomal RNA". It matches the Rfam family "Bacterial small subunit ribosomal RNA", at positions 524 to 776 of the family's 1533-position model. The record is from RNAcentral.
UACGAAGGUCCCAAGCGUUGUUCGGAAUCACUGGGCGUAAAGGGCGCGUAGGCGGCGUGGUAAGUCAGAUGUGAAAUCCCGGGGCUCAACCCCGGAACUGCAUCCGAUACUGCCAUGCUAGAGGAUUGGAGAGGUAGCUGGAAUUCUUGGUGUAGCAGUGAAAUGCGUAGAGAUCAAGAGGAACACUCGUGGCGAAAGCGAGCUACUGGACAAUUCCUGACGCUGAGGCUCGAAGGCUAGGGUAGCGAACGGG